AAUAAGGUUUUUUUUAAAACCAUCAUACAAACUUCAAUACAUAGAGU
This 47-nucleotide non-coding RNA is filed under the name Helianthus annuus (common sunflower). Its description in RNAcentral is "sRNA HanXRQr2_Chr14g0621121". It matches the Rfam family "Histone 3' UTR stem-loop". Rfam says of the family: The mRNAs of metazoan histone genes lack a poly-A tail. 3' end processing occurs at a site between a highly conserved stem-loop (modelled by this family) and a purine rich region around 20 nts downstream (the histone downstream element, or HDE). The stem-loop is bound by a 31 kDa stem-loop binding protein (SLBP - also termed the histone hairpin binding protein, or HBP). The record is from RNAcentral. Lineage: Eukaryota; Viridiplantae; Streptophyta; Magnoliopsida; Asterales; Asteraceae.